UACGGAGGAUGCGAGCGUUAUCCGGAUUUAUUGGGUUUAAAGGGUGCGUAGGCGGAGUGUCAAGUCAGCGGUAAAAUUUCGGGGCUCAACCCCGUCGUGCCGUUGAAACUGACACCCUUGAGUGAGUGAGAAGUAAGCGGAAUGCGUGGUGUAGCGGUGAAAUGCAUAGAUAUCACGCAGAACGCCGAUUGCGAAGGCAGCUUGCUAGGCCGGAUCUGACACUGAUGCACGAAAGCGUGGGGAUCGAACAGG
This 252-nucleotide ribosomal RNA is filed under the name uncultured Bacteroidales bacterium. Its description in RNAcentral is "partial 16S ribosomal RNA". It matches the Rfam family "Bacterial small subunit ribosomal RNA", at positions 524 to 776 of the family's 1533-position model. The record is from RNAcentral. Lineage: Bacteria; Pseudomonadati; Bacteroidota; Bacteroidia; Bacteroidales.